This 492-nucleotide ribosomal RNA is filed under the name uncultured soil bacterium. Its description in RNAcentral is "bacterial SSU rRNA". It matches the Rfam family "Bacterial small subunit ribosomal RNA", at positions 8 to 497 of the family's 1533-position model. The record is from RNAcentral.
AGAGUUUGAUCCUGGCUCAGGAUGAACGCUAGCGGCAGGCUUAAUACAUGCAAGUCGAGGGGCAGCGCAGUGUAGCAAUACAUGGGCGGCGACCGGCAAACGGGUGCGGAACACGUACGCAACCUACCCAAAACUGGGGGAUAGCCCGCCGAAAGGUGGAUUAAUACCUCGUAACCUCGUGAAGCGGCAUCGCUUUAUGAGUAUAGCUCCGGCGGUUUUGGAUGGGCGUGCGCCUGAUUAGGUAGUUGGCGGGGUAACGGCCCACCAAGCCUGCGAUCAGUAACUGUGUGAGAGCACGACCAGUCACACGGGCACUGAGACACGGGCCCGACUCCUACGGGAGGCAGCAGUAAGGAAUAUUGGUCAAUGGACGCAAGUCUGAACCAGCCAUGCCGCGUGAAGGAUGAAGGUCCUCUGGAUUGUAAACUUCUUUUAUCUGGGACGAAACCCUCGUUUUCUAACGGGAUGACGUACCAGAGAAUUAGCCCCCGC